Molecule: ribosomal RNA, 433 nt
Filed under: uncultured bacterium
Lineage: Bacteria
Description: partial 16S ribosomal RNA
Rfam family: Bacterial small subunit ribosomal RNA
Source: RNAcentral
AACGAACGCUGGCGGCAUGCCUAACACAUGCAAGUCGAACGAGACCUUCGGGUCUAGUGGCGCACGGGUGCGUAACGCGUGGGAACCUGCCCGUAGGUUCGGAAUAACUCCCCGAAAGGGGUGCUAAUACCGGUUAAUGUCUUCGGGCCAAAGAUUUAUCGCCUUUGGAUGGGCCCGCGUUGGAUUAGCUAGUUGGUAGGGUAAAAGCCUACCAAGGCGACGAUCCAUAGCUGGUCGGGGAGGAUGAUCAUCCACACUGGGACUGAGACCCGGCCCAGACUCCUACGGGAGGCAGCAGUGGGUAAUAUUGGACAAUGGGCGCAAGCCUGAUCCAGCCAUGCCGCGUGAGUGAUGAAGGCCUUAGGGUUGUAAAGCUCUUUUACCCGGGAUGAUAAUGACAGUACCGGGAGAAUAAGCUCCGGCUAACUACGUG